GAUGAAGAACGUAGUGAAAUGCGAUACUUGGUGUGAAUUGCAGAAUCCCGUGAACCAUCGAGUCUUUGAACGCAAGUUGCGCCCGAAGCCACUAGGCCGAGGGCACGCCUGCCUGGGCGUCACACGUCGUUGCCCCCCCCCCAUCUACUCCUUCGGGAUUGCGGGGGGCGGAUGAUGGCCUCCCGUGCGCCUAGCCGCGCGGUUGGCAUAAAUACCAAGUCCUCGGCGACGCACGCCACGACAAUCGGUGGUUGCGAAACCUCGGUUGCCCGUCGUGUGCGUUCGUCGCGCAUCGAGGGCUCGAAAAAAUGCUCGGCUCCGGCUCGGCUUUCAACGCGACCCCAGGUCAGGCGGGGUUACCCGCUGAGUUUAAGCAUAUCAAUAAGCGGAGGA
RNAcentral lists this unclassified non-coding RNA (393 nucleotides) under soil metagenome. RNAcentral's name for it is "partial contains 5.8S ribosomal RNA, internal transcribed spacer 2, and large subunit ribosomal RNA". The stretch from base 1 to 122 matches the Rfam family "5.8S ribosomal RNA", at positions 35 to 154 of the family's 154-position model. The record is from RNAcentral.